AGGAGAGUUUGAUCCUGGCUCAGGACGAACGCUGGCGGCAUGCCUAAAACAUGCAAGUCGAACGAAGUUAUUAGAGAGCUUGCUUUUUGAUAACUUAGUGGCGGACUGGUGAGUAACGCGUGAGCAAUCUGCCCUAUACACUGGGAUAACAGCUAGAAAUGGCUGCUAAUACCGGAUAUGACCACAGCACCGCAUGGUGCAGGGGUGAAAGGGUUUACUGGUAUAGGAUGAGCUCGCGUCCCAUUAGCUAGUUGGUAGUGUAACGGACCACCAAGGCAACGAUGGGUAGCCGACCUGAGAGGGUGAUCGGCCACACUGGGACUGAGAUACGGCCCAGACUCCUACGGGAGGCAGCAGUUAGGAAUAUUGGGCAAUGGAGGAAACUCUGACCCAGCAAUGCCGCGUGAAGGAUGAAGGUUCUCGGAUUGUAAACUUCUGUUCUAAGGGACGAAACAAAUGACUGUACCUUAGGAGGAAGCCCCGGCAAACUACGUGCCAGCAGCCGCGGUGAUACGUAGGGGGCAAGCGUUGUCCGGAAUGACUGGGCGUAAAGGGAGUGUAGGCGGUUCUUUAAGUUAAAUGUGAAAGCCUGGGGCUUAACCCCAGAACUGCAUUUAAUACUGGAGGGCUUGAGUGUGGGAGAGGUAAGUGGAAUUCCUAGUGUAGCGGUAAAAUGCAUAGAUAUUGGGAGGAACACCGGAGGCGAAAGCGGUCAUCUGGACUACAACUGACGCUGAGGCACGAAAGCGUGGGGAGCAAACAGGAUUAGAUACCCUGGUAGUCCCCU
Molecule: ribosomal RNA, 787 nt
Filed under: uncultured Bacillota bacterium
Lineage: Bacteria; Bacillati; Bacillota
Description: bacterial SSU rRNA
Rfam family: Bacterial small subunit ribosomal RNA
Source: RNAcentral